AUGCACCACGCGUGUACUCCGGUUCACAGCGCGCCGUCCAGACGCAACUGAAAUCUGCUCACCGGGUUCUGUCAGCC
This 77-nucleotide small RNA is filed under the name Xanthomonas dyei. RNAcentral describes it as "sX9 sRNA". It matches the Rfam family "Xanthomonas sRNA sX9". The record is from RNAcentral. Lineage: Bacteria; Pseudomonadati; Pseudomonadota; Gammaproteobacteria; Lysobacterales; Lysobacteraceae.